GAUGAAGAACGUAGCGAAAUGCGAUAAGUAAUGUGAAUUGCAGAAUUCAGUGAAUCAUCGAAUCUUUGAACGCAUCUUGCGCUCCUUGGUAUUCCGAGGAGCAUGCCUGUUUGAGUGUCAUUUAACUUCUCAACCACAUUGGAUAUUUUUUUUCCGAUGCCGGCUUGGAUGUGGGGGUUGUCUGCAGGCUUUUUGUAACAAAAAAGGUCGGCUCCCCUGAAAUGUAUUAGUGGUAUCUGAGGCUAUUACUAUUAGGUGUGAUAAUUAUCUAUGCCUUUUGGGUAUGCCGCAUGAACAGAUUAUGCUGCUUCUAACGAAAACUAUUUUGAUGAAUUUGACCUCAAAUCAGGUAGGACUACCCGCUGAACUUAAGCAUAUCAAUAAGCGGAGGA
RNAcentral lists this unclassified non-coding RNA (392 nucleotides) under soil metagenome. RNAcentral describes it as "partial contains 5.8S ribosomal RNA, internal transcribed spacer 2, and large subunit ribosomal RNA". The stretch from base 1 to 120 matches the Rfam family "5.8S ribosomal RNA", at positions 35 to 154 of the family's 154-position model. The record is from RNAcentral.